This 253-nucleotide ribosomal RNA is filed under the name uncultured bacterium. RNAcentral's name for it is "partial 16S ribosomal RNA". It matches the Rfam family "Bacterial small subunit ribosomal RNA", at positions 524 to 776 of the family's 1533-position model. The record is from RNAcentral.
UACGGAGGGUGCAAACGUUGUCCGGAAUUACUGGGCGUAAAGCGCAUGUAGGUGGCUUUUUAAGUGAAUGAUUAAAGACCGUCGCUUAACGACGGGACUGUUGUUCAAACUAUUGAGCUUGAGGAUAGCAGGGGUAAGCGGAACUUUGAGUGUAGGAGUGAUAUCCGUAGAUAUUCAAAGGAACACCAAUGGCGAAGGCAGCUUACUGGGCUAUUUCUGACACUGAGAUGCGAAAGCGUGGGGAGCAAACGGG